RNAcentral lists this ribosomal RNA (224 nucleotides) under uncultured bacterium. RNAcentral describes it as "partial 16S ribosomal RNA". It matches the Rfam family "Bacterial small subunit ribosomal RNA", at positions 28 to 250 of the family's 1533-position model. The record is from RNAcentral.
GACGAACGCUGGCGGCGUGCUUAACACAUGCAAGUCGAGCGGUAAGGCCCUUUCGGGGGUACGACGAGCGGCGAACGGGUAGAGUAACACGUGGGUGACCUCGCCCUCAGCUCUGGGAUAAGCCCGGGAAACUGGGUCUAAUACUGGAUAUGACUCCAUGACGCAUGUUGUGGGGUGGAAAGCCUUGUGCGGCUGAGGAUGGGCCCGCGGCCUAUCAGCUUGUU